Molecule: long non-coding RNA, 740 nt
Filed under: Eutrema salsugineum
Lineage: Eukaryota; Viridiplantae; Streptophyta; Magnoliopsida; Brassicales; Brassicaceae
Description: long non-coding RNA (ESAL_LNC001586)
Source: RNAcentral
UGCGGACCACCUCCAGGAUGCUGGCCGCCAGGUCCACCACCACCUGGCUCCAUGCCACCAGGCUGGCCACCUGGUCCACCACCUCCUGGCUCCAUGCCACCGGGAUGCCCACCUGGCUCUAUGGGCUGGCCACCUGGUUCCAUGCCACCGGGCUGGCCACAGCAACCAGGUGGCCCUGGUAAUCCUGGAACGUCUCCUAGCAAUCCAAACCCUCCGACUAAACCUCCAUCUGAACCAUCACCCGGUAAUCCUGGAAAGCCACCUGCUAAUCCAGAUCCUCCAACAGACCAAACAAAACCUCCAACUAAACCUGAAGGACCUGACGGUUCUGAUGAAGUGAAACCUCUGACCGGGCCGAAUCCUAGUGGCUAUGAUGAAGUGAAACCUCCGACCGGGCCGAAGCCUAGUGGCUAUGAUGAAGUGAAACCUCCCACUGGUCCGAAUCCCGGCGAAAACUCUGAUCCACCACUCUACUAGACAAAAGAGUCAAAUGUGACCAACGUCUAUAAAGUUCGAAUCAGAAGUUAAUAAUGUCAUUACAAUUAGUUCUUGUUGAUGAUUCAUAAGCCACAAAAGGAGCAGACAAAGCUAUGAAAAUGUAAUGUAGGCGGAAACAUAGGAACAGAAAACAAGAAUUCUGACGUAUGCAUACCCAUUGCUCGGAACAAUAAGCUAGACACUUCAACUCCAUUUAACAUAUCUGACUUAAGAGAUAGAGAGAAAUCGAAAUGCAAACUUGC